GUCUUUGUUUGAAUGUUCUUCAAGCUGCAACGCACUGAACCAGCUUCUGGAUGGAAAAUCAAUGUACUGAUUGCCUAUCCUUUUGUAUCUGGAGAAUGGAUUCUCUGAGCCUUCGUUUGCUCAAACGAAUACCUACGAGGCCUUUUCACAACUUGACAUGAAAUGAUUACCAGCUCUAUUUUGGUUCAGACUUCAGAGCAACAGAGUUGAUGUCAGCCAUAGGCGGCUAUGGCUAUUACAAUCUGGAGUACAAAUCAAAUGAGAACUUGCAUACAAUGCAUACAGAUCUGAUCUUUUUAUGGGCAUUUACCUAGGAGGCUAGGAAAUAUUUAAUUCAGGCAGAAACGAGAAAGAAAUUCCCAGUUUUAAACUGGCCACAAUCGUUUCCUGUGUUGAAUCCAGCGACCACAGCCGCAAGGACGUGUACAGCCGCAAAUCAGACGGCGAAUGCCAUUGCCACUGGUAGCCUCCUCUCCUCCUGGUCUGGAUCGCACAGCCCUUCGCUGUUGCCGCUGGACGGAGCGUAGGACGUCCCCACCGACGAUAAGGCCGCGCUCCCACGCAAGCCGCCGAGGCAAGCACGCGCCGUGGACCCUGGCGCAGCGAGGGUGUUCGAUGAAAUGCCGCUACGGGGCAACCUGCAAGACCACGGCAUCGUUUGGCUGGUUGAAAAUUGCCGCCGCUCUGGCUGUUCCACCGUGACGGUCAAGAAGGGGGGCGCAGCCGAGGGGGUCCGGCAGCCGGGGAGCCAUGGUUGGCCGGCAGGACGUCACAUGCGCACGCUCCCGCGUGCCAUGGCAAGGGCUGAGAAGCUGAAUCAGCCAAUCAGGCAUGCUGAUACGGAUGGAUAUUGAUGGAGGUUGGGAGUUGGGAUCGAUGGCUUGCGCUGUGCUGUGCUCAUCACAUCCUGGCAAAGGCAAUGAACUUUUGUACUUCAGGUGUCUCUCGCUGUUGGGGAAUAUGCUCUGCCGUCACUCAGUCAAGCACCUGGGGUUCCUCUUCCCCUAGAGGCUGCCAACUGGAGGCACACGAAGAGGCGACGACCAAGGUUGGUGUCAUUCGGUUCGUGGAAUCGGUUUUGGGGCAUAAUCUGACCAGGACUGCACUCGCAUGUCGGGCCAGAUAAGGGUUUCAUGGUUUAUGCCUUUGAUAACGUGUUGCUUGUAGACACAAUUUAUCAGAUAGCUUUGCUGCUAUGGUGUUGGUGGAAUACUGGAAUGAUUGAGCAUGACUGGUGGAUGGAGGGAAGGCCCCUCUGGAUUCUGAUUCUCGUGAGGUCAUUGGCAUCAGUCCUGGCUGGUAAUCAUUUCACGUCAAGUUGUGAAAAGGCCUCGUAGAUCGUAUCAUUGCUAGUUUGCUAUGCGCCAGCAAGCUUUGGACCCGGCACAGGGACUCUCGCGAACUGGCAUUUUCUCAGGUUACCUGCAACUUGGAAUUGUUCUGAGUUGGCAUACAAACAUGAGGGAUAUUCCCUUGCAUUCGGCUAUCUUAUAUCCAAUGUCGAGCGCUCCAGAGAUAUAGGGGCAUAUAUUUACCGCAUCCACAUUAAUUCCAUCAGUCCUCCUGUAGAGGAGGUUAUUCCAAUAUCAUCUAAUGUAUCGUCUGCCACCACAUCCGUUCUCCCUUUGGCAAUUGAAGAACACUGAGGCCACGGGUGGUCCUAGAUUAUAAAGUGCUGAGAAGUCUCUUGUGUUGAAAUUUGGUCUCCAUCCUGGUGCAUAAAUAGUCUGCCGGAUGGAUUGGCGGAAGAGGACAAAGACAAAGCGAUGUGUAAAAGGGUACUGCAUGGUCUAUUCUGUUGAUUUUCUUGGAAAUAAACAUUCAAAUAGGGAUAUGAGAUGUAAGAGAAGUGGGCAACUCACCAAAGCUUACAUUUGUUGAUUCUGGAAUGUCUGUCACUAACCUGCAUGCAUGAUUGCCACCGUAAGUAAUUCCUUUUCCUAUUUGUCAUGUUAGCAGAAUAUACAAGUAAUAGUAAUCACAUAUUUUUCAGGUCUUACCAAUGAAGGUAUUCUCUUUUGGUUGGAUUGCUUGGACUCGAUACCUUUAUUUUAAACUGGCACAACAUUUGCCUGUCGUCUAAGGACUUUGAGUGAUGCUGAUUUGAUAAAUGGGUCCAAGAUAUCUCCAACUACGUUGCCAACGACAAGUGGGUCCCUUGACAUGGUUAGCUAAGAUUGGCAAACUUGAAGACAAGCUAACUUGGCCUGAAGUAUGAGCUUGGGUGAAGUGAAGGGUGCAGGCUGGUGCUCUAUAUAUACUGCAGGUCCCCAAUGAGGCACCAUUCAUGAUGACUGAAAAUAUUAGCUCUGGACACCAUGGUAUCUUGCUUUAUACUGCAAAGAAUGAUAUGGGUUGCCAUCACUGAAAAUAUUUCGAGUAGUCCACCCUCUGCACCUACACCAAUGGAAGGAGUGCUCACUGCAAUUCCACGUAGGGUAGAAGCUUUGGUGGGACAAGCAUACUAUACUGCAAUGACAGAAGGUGGUGGAGGAUUUUCUUCACAAAUGCAUCAAUUGUUCGGUGUCUGCUCCUAAGAUAAUAAUUUCAACAUUAGAUGCCCAAGAUGCUAAUUUGUGGUACAAGUGUAUGGUCUAUCUCACUGCAUGCUGUCAUCUAGAAUUCAGAAUCAUGUUCAGUUCAUCUGCAGACAUCAUAAGUACACAACUACAUUAUACCUGCACUCAUCUCUUCUGACUUCUAUUCUAGUUAAAAAGAUGGAAUACGACCUUCGUCGUCGGAGCUCCAAGUAAUGGAAGAUUCUGCUCCCAGUUGCUGAUCUUUUGUUUUGGUGAAAAUGAACUGCCUACGGAAGCUCAUAUGGUCUCCAAAGAGAGGUGGCAGAGCUGUGACAGAUAAGGUCUACAAUGAUCUCAGCUAGCUAUCAGGUAUUCAUGUUUCAGUUCUGCGCCGAAAGCCUGAAAGGUGACACUACUUGCAUUGGAGCCAAGAAGCUCAAAUUCGACCAGAGAAUCUCUACUGUGCCUUAAAAAGGUGAUGCUAAUAAAGUAGAAACUUGGCACCCAAUCCUUAAUACCAGACCUUCAGCUACUUCAGCAAGUUCCGAACAUGGAACUGAAAGAGUUUAGUUAACACGGUGGUGCAUUGAGUAUGAACGCCGAAGUUAGUGAAGUGACUGGAAUCUGUGAAACUCUUUCCUGGUUCAUUGCACAUUCUUGAUCCUUGACCAACGAAUAAAGCAGUUCUUCUCUUCACGUGAGCAUAUCCCAUUGGUCCAGCCACUCCAAGGGUGAAUGCAAAAAAAGUUGUACUUCACAUGGGUUGCUAAAGCUCGGAAAUGGACAUUUGACAGAGAAACUUGGAGCGCCGGAAUUGCAUCGAAUGGUAUUGAGUACAGAACUAUUUCCAGAAACAGAAAACCUCCACUACCCUGUCAAUGCUCGCUGAUGGCAAAAAUUGGAUUGUGAUGCCUGCUUCUUUCAUGGUCUUGCAAAGUUGGAAGGAUUCCUUACAUCCAAAAAGAAAAAAAGUUGGAAGGAUUCCCGAAGAAAUUAAGCUUCAAGUUUCUGGUUGUCAUCGCAAGUUGUUCAAUCAACCGUUCAAAUUUGAACUCUGAGCAACAACGGCUUCUGAACCGAUCAAGAUCACGCUCUGGGAAUCCGGUGGAGAACGAGAAUCCUUCUGGAAACGGUCGGCAUCGUGCACUACUUGAUCUACCGGCCGGUAUUCCCCCGUCCCUUUGCUGAAAGCAACGGCUCCUCCUCCAGAGCUAAGCUAGGCUAAGCUAGACGAGGGGCCCUGGAUGGGGGGCGGCGUACGUGCGGCACUGCAUUGGUAGCCGUGGUGUGCAAGUUGCAGGGUCGCCGCCUCAGCGCUGUCCAUGAAUGGAAUGGAGUGGCGCCGGUGUUUCGAGCCGAGUGCCAGGCGCCAUGGAUGGAUAUGAACAUGAUCGCUUGCUGCCGCCACGCCAUUCACCCGGGGCGUGCUACCUUGGCGUGGCGUGCGUUGGCAUCGUGAUCUUAUCACUUUCCUAUAGGCCUGGAGCCUGGCAAGUCAGCGGUGGCACGCGGGCUCGCACAUUUCGUAUCCUUCCACAUGGUAAAAGCUGCAGCAUCGCCGUCACCGAAAUCGGUGGCGGGGGCAGGGUCGGAAGCUAUUCUGGAGCUUUCUCAUUUCUGGUGCAGCGGCCAAAGCCAACUAGCCAUGUCGGGAGUGGCUAGCGUACUACGUCUACGUACAACUAAAAUGUAGCCAGUCUAGAGCGUGUAAAGAUGAUGCAACACAGAAUAAUCUAGACUCCUAGAGACCAAAGGCUUUGGUCAUGCUUUGUAUUAUUGAAAGCAAAAUGUAACAUAGAGAAUAAUCAGGAUAUGUACCCUUUUUUCUUCAGGGAAAUCAGAUAUGCAACAGAACAUGUUUCUGUUCGAGA
Panicum hallii is the source of this 4390-nucleotide long non-coding RNA. RefSeq lists it as uncharacterized. NCBI's taxonomy places the organism in Eukaryota, Viridiplantae, Streptophyta, Magnoliopsida, Poales, Poaceae. The record is from RefSeq and is a predicted model, not a curated record. The transcript is spliced from 10 exons.